Molecule: ribosomal RNA, 773 nt
Filed under: Nocardioides sp.
Lineage: Bacteria; Bacillati; Actinomycetota; Actinomycetes; Propionibacteriales; Nocardioidaceae
Description: bacterial SSU rRNA
Rfam family: Bacterial small subunit ribosomal RNA
Source: RNAcentral
UUCGGGGUACUCGAGCGGCGAACGGGUGAGUAACACGUGAGUAAUCUGCCCCUGGCUUUGGGAUAGCCACCGGAAACGGUGAUUAAUACCGGAUACGACCACUUCUCGCAUGGGAUGGUGGUGGAAAGUUUUUCGGCCAGGGAUGUGCUCGCGGCCUAUCAGCUUGAUGGUGAGGUAAUGGCUCACCAUGGCUUCGACGGGUAGCCGGCCUGAGAGGGUGACCGGUCACACUGGGACUGAGACACGGCCCAGACUCCUACGGGAGGCAGCAGUGGGGAAUAUUGGACAAUGGGCGGAAGCCUGAUCCAGCAACGCCGCGUGAGGGAUGACGGCCUUCGGGUUGUAAACCUCUUUCAGCAGGGACGAAGCGCAAGUGACGGUACCUGCAGAAGAAGCACCGGCCAACUACGUGCCAGCAGCCGCGGUAAUACGUAGGGUGCGAGCGUUGUCCGGAAUUAUUGGGCGUAAAGGGCUCGUAGGCGGUCUGUCGCGUCGGGAGUGAAAACCAGGUGCUUAACACCUGGCUUGCUUUCGAUACGGGCAGACUAGAGGUAUUCAGGGGAGAACGGAAUUCCUGGUGUAGCGGUGAAAUGCGCAGAUAUCAGGAGGAACACCGGUGGCGAAGGCGGUUCUCUGGGAAUAUCCUGACGCUGAGGAGCGAAAGUGUGGGGAGCGAACAGGAUUAGAUACCCUGGUAGUCCACACCGUAAACGUUGGGCGCUAGGUGUGGGGUCCAUUCCACGGAUUCCGUGCCGCAGCUAACGCAUUAAGCG